Molecule: unclassified non-coding RNA, 612 nt
Filed under: Zea mays
Lineage: Eukaryota; Viridiplantae; Streptophyta; Magnoliopsida; Poales; Poaceae
Description: misc RNA Zm00001eb117340
Source: RNAcentral
CUGUGCCACAAAGGAGCUCCUCUCCAUCCCAUCUCCAACGUCGCCCCAACCCCCAUCACCGACAGGGAACCCACCUCUCACGUCGACACCGCCAGAGGAGGAGAUGGUGGAGAUACGGGCGUUGCGAUCCGAGGCAGCACGCUAGAGCGACGAGAGCGUGGCGACGUGGAGAUCAUGGGAGUCCUGCGCAGCGUCGCGGCGAGGCGCCCGUCGGGGAGGCAGCGGGCACGGAGAGAGCGGAGAGUGACGGCGACAACGGGUCCCGCCUGUCGCGCGAACCAGGGAAAUAUCUACAUCUCGUCUGCGCCGCCGCUGGGAUUUAUUAGGGUUCUACUUCUAGCCCAGGCCAACUCCACACCAAUCCAAUCCUGGGGCGGGCGACUGCCUCCUUCCCUCGAUUUGACGUGCGCUUCCUCUUCCUCGCUCGCUCUCGGUCGCAGUCACAGGCCCACAACACAAGCAACUUUCUUAUUACUGUCGGGGUUCCGAAGCCAACAAAAGGACGCAUCAUUCCAACUAACUUUCAGAGCAGCGCAGCGUGUCUUGCUUUGUUGGUGCCUUGCAAACCGCAGGUGCUGUGCUACAAUUGCAGAAAUAAGGAAGUAUCUUUGA